ACAGAGGGUGCGAGCGUUGUUCGGAAUUAUUGGGCGUAAAGGGCGCGUAGGCGGUGCGGUAAGUCACCUGUGAAAUCUCCUGGCUCAACUGGGAGCUUGCAGGCGAAACUGCCGUGCUGGAGUGUGGGAGAGGUGCGUGGAAUUCCUGGUGUAGCGGUGAAAUGCGUAGAUAUCAGGAGGAACACCAGUGGCGAAGGCGGUCCCCUGGGCCGGAACUGACGCUGAGGCGCGAAAGCGUGGGUAGCAAACGGGA
RNAcentral lists this ribosomal RNA (253 nucleotides) under uncultured prokaryote. RNAcentral describes it as "partial 16S ribosomal RNA". It matches the Rfam family "Bacterial small subunit ribosomal RNA", at positions 525 to 777 of the family's 1533-position model. The record is from RNAcentral.